This 738-nucleotide ribosomal RNA is filed under the name uncultured bacterium. RNAcentral's name for it is "bacterial SSU rRNA". It matches the Rfam family "Bacterial small subunit ribosomal RNA", at positions 93 to 816 of the family's 1533-position model. The record is from RNAcentral.
GAGUGGCGAACUGGGGAGUAACACGUGGGUAACCUGCCCUUGAAGUAGGGGAUAACACUUGGAAACAGGUGCUAAUACCGUAUAACAACCAAAACCACCUGGUUUUGGUUUAAAAGAUGGCUUCGGCUAUCACUUUAGGAUGGACCCGCGGCGUAUUAGCUUGUUGGUAAGGUAACGGCCUACCAAGGCAAUGAUACGUAGCCGACCUGAGGGGGUAAUCGGCCACAUUGGGACUGAGACACGGCCCAAACUCCUACGGGAGGCAGCAGUAGGGAAUCUUCCACAAUGGACGAAAGUCUGAUGGAGCAACGCCGCGUGAGUGAUGAAGGGUUUCGGCUCGUAAAACUCUGCUGUUGGAGAAGAACAGGUGUGAGAGUAACUGUUCACAUCUUGACGGUAUCCAACCAGAAAGCCACGGCUAACUACGUGCCAGCAGCCGCGGUAAUACGUAGGUGGCAAGCGUUGUCCGGAUUUAUUGGGCGUAAAGCGAGCGCAGGCGGUUUCUUAGGUCUGAUGUGAAAGCCUUCGGCUUAACCGGAGAAGUGCAUCAGAAACCAGGAGACUUGAGUGCAGAAGAGGACAGUGGAACUCCAUGUGUAGCGGUGAAAUGCGUAGAUAUAUGGAAGAACACCAGUGGCGAAGGCGGCUGUCUGGUCUGUAACUGACGCUGAGGCUCGAAAGCAUGGGUAGCGAACAGGAUUAGAUACCCUGGUAGUCCAUGCCGCAAACGAUGAGUGC